Molecule: long non-coding RNA, 1273 nt
Filed under: Mytilus galloprovincialis (Mediterranean mussel)
Lineage: Eukaryota; Metazoa; Mollusca; Bivalvia; Mytilida; Mytilidae
Source: RNAcentral
GCAAUAAUGGCGUUGAUGGAAAAAAGAAAAUAUAUAUCUGUGAUCUAGUGACCCAACUCAGCAACUUCUCAACUGACGAAGCAUUUUACUUGUUUACUAGAGGCCCGUACUCAUACAGAUUCAACUGUGCAAGACGAUGCAAUGUAUGUAUAAUGUAGAAAACUAUUAUAGACGAUAUUUCACCCCUUAAUAAACUGAGUACUAAAAUGUUUAAAGUGCAAGGUAUUUCUCUAUCGUAUUAUAUAUGUCGAAGGUAACCUAGUAUUUCUGUCUGAAUGUCACGUUAUAUAUGUUAUAUAACUUUUGUUUUGUCGCCUUGAAUACGUGUAAGUCGUGAUAUAAUAUUAUGUCGUAAAAAAUCAUUUAUAUUAUGACGUCACUGUGACCAAAAUAAAAAAAAAACACAGAAAUACAUGCUUAUUAGAAAUGCUAAAUUGAAAAACAACGUAUUUCUCAUGUUUCUGUUGGAAAAGUUGUAGUUUCGAAAUUUUGGAAGGAUGUGCAAUAUUUAGAAAAGAGAAGGUAGGCAGAAAUUUAAUACAUUAACUGAUUAAGCUAGGUUUAAAUUGUCAUUGAAAAAUGGUUGUCAUGCAUGUAUAUUUGUAGUAGUUAAACAAUAAAGCAGAUAAAAUCAAACCAAACUGUCGCUAUCUCCUUUUUUCUGGGAAUUCUGUGGUAGCUACAUCUUUUCAGACAAUUCUCUUCAAUUAAAUCAAACCAAGAUCUGCGUAUCAUUUUCACGUGAUUUCUACUUCGCUUUUAUUGAAAAGAGACAUGAUUAUUCAAAAGGUUUUGACGACAAAAUUAUAUACCAUGACUCAUUCAACAUGUUUACAAUUUCAAAUUUUGCAAACAAAUGCAAGUCGCCUACACAGCAAAACACACAAGGGUAUGUAUAAAGGUGCACUGCCUUUAAAAAAAUUGUUUUCUCUAUAUUCAUAUUGAUCUUUAAAAAUAUUAAAUGCUGUCGAUCUUACCUUGGUAAAAGGUCUACUGUCGGUUGACUUUCAGGCAGCAAUUCAAACUUAAGAGUCUGCCGUUUGGUUGGGCCUUAUACCUGUGUCUCAAAAAACAGAAUAAUACAAAUGUGGUAUUUGCUAACCAACUCACGAAAUUAAAGAAUUGGAUUUACAUUCUGAAUUGUAUCUACCUUUCAGACUUUGACAGGAGAGUCAAAAGGAUCAAGCGGCUGUCAUUUCAAAUUUGAUGAUAGCAAAAAGGACAAUUUGGGUUGCCUUGCAAGACAUGCACUGUGCAAAAGACAAAGAGGGGG